GGUUUUUUAGUGCUACACUCCAACAAUAAAGACUGAGGCAGUUCUUGUGCUGUGUCUGAGUGCAGCAGUGAGUGCAGCUGUGUGUCAGAGGCAGGGAAGGACCAGCAGCCAUGGAUGACGUAUAUAAAGCAGCGGUUGAGAACUUGACAGAGGAACAAAAAAAUGAGUUCAAGGCUGCAUUUGACAUCUUCAUCCAGGAUGCAGAGGACGGCUGCAUCAGCACCAAAGAGUUGGGAAAGGUGAUGAGGAUGCUGGGACAGAAUCCCACCCCUGAAGAGUUACAGGAGAUGAUUGAUGAGGUGGAUGAGGAUGGGAGUGGCACAGUUGAUUUUGAUGAGUUCUUGGUUAUGAUGGUCCGCUGCAUGAAGGAGGAGAGCAAAGGAAAAUCAGAGGAGGAGUUGGCUGAACUGUUCCGCAUGUUUGACAAGAACGGAGAUGGCUACAUAGACUUAGAAGAGCUGAAGACCAUGUUGGAGUCCACUGGAGAGGCCAUCACAGAAGAUGACAUUGAGGAGCUGAUGAAGGAUGGAGAUAAAAACAAUGAUGGGAAAAUUGAUUAUGACGAGUUCCUUGAGUUCAUGAAAGGCGUUGAAUAAAGGAUUCAGCUGGAGGCCUCACAACGCAGUAUCUUCACUUUCCAUUGACUUCAUCAUCAUCUCUGGCCAUUCCUGAAGACAUGGCUCUACCUUUUUUCUGCGUUUACCAAACCCAAUCAACACACCUGUUCUCAGCCUGUCCCAUCACACAGAGGCCCUGAAAGAACAGCAAGAGAACAACAUGGAGUGUUGGAGUACAUCAAUGCUACAUACAACAUUCCUGGACUGCCAUCUAGUGUACAAGCCCACUGUAGUAGCCUUAUGUUAUUAGAUAACAGCUGUGUUUCAGGCAAUGUUUGGGACACUACACAUUGGAAUAAAACUUCAAACAUUUAAUUUA
RNA transcript from Perca flavescens (yellow perch), 936 nucleotides. It is a transcript of the gene named troponin C, slow skeletal and cardiac muscles, with no coding region annotated. The transcript is spliced from 7 exons. The record is from RefSeq and is a predicted model, not a curated record. Lineage: Eukaryota; Metazoa; Chordata; Actinopteri; Perciformes; Percidae.